This is a long non-coding RNA of Spinacia oleracea (spinach), 657 nucleotides long. RefSeq lists it as uncharacterized. NCBI's taxonomy places the organism in Eukaryota, Viridiplantae, Streptophyta, Magnoliopsida, Caryophyllales, Amaranthaceae. The record is from RefSeq and is a predicted model, not a curated record. The transcript has 4 exons.
AUAGUUCUGAAAUUGGAAGGAGAUACUGUUGUUUUUCAACUAGUUGAACCUGCCAAAUUUAAGUCUACCUCUUCUAGAAUCAAAUCACUAAACUAGUUGAAGCUGAGGAUAAAAGCUGCUAAUGAAGCUGAGGCGGCUUGCCAACGGCGUCUCUCUGUUGCUGAGGCUGAAAUAGCUGAUUUAAGAUCCAAAUUGGAUACUACUGAAAGCAUGGAAGGCAAGCAUUCGUUUCUGUGCCUAGCACUUUUCCUGUGCCUGGAGAAGAACUGAUGUUUUGAUGAUUGUAAGAGGGGCAAGGAGAAGCUUGUUUGUGAUGCUGCUCAAGUACUGCUUUAUUUCGGAGUUGAACAAAUCAUCUAUGUUUCUGAAAUGACGCACUGCUAAAUAAAGGUCUACACUCCGAGGAAUGCGCCUAUACUAGUGAGGAAAUUGAUGUGGUUCGUGAGCAACGGGCUAAGUGUUUUACCCGCAAGUAUUUACUAUUGGCUUGAGCGCGCUUGAUCGAGGUGGUUUAGUUGUUAUAGAACAAUCGUUUACAUUAAAAUGUAUGCGUACAUUGAAAUUGGAACGUAUAUUUGAAUGUAGUACGUGCACUUUGGUUUUGGGAUAUAUAUAUAUGUAUACAAAACACCAGUUAUUAUUUUUUAUAUUUGUUGA